UACAGAGGUGGCAAGCGUUGUUCGGAAUUACUGGGCGUAAAGGGCGUGUAGGCGGUCUUCUAAGUCAGACGUGAAAUCCCCCGGCUUAACCUGGGAACUGCGUCUGAUACUGGGAGGCUUGAGUAUGGGAGAGGGAUGUAGAAUUCCAGGUGUAGCGGUGAAAUGCGUAGAUAUCUGGAGGAAUACCGGUGGCGAAGGCGGCAUCCUGGGCCAUUACUGACGCUUAAGCGCGAAAGCUAGGGGAGCAAACGGG
Molecule: ribosomal RNA, 253 nt
Filed under: uncultured bacterium
Lineage: Bacteria
Description: partial 16S ribosomal RNA
Rfam family: Bacterial small subunit ribosomal RNA
Source: RNAcentral